RNAcentral lists this ribosomal RNA (253 nucleotides) under uncultured bacterium. RNAcentral's name for it is "partial 16S ribosomal RNA". It matches the Rfam family "Bacterial small subunit ribosomal RNA", at positions 524 to 776 of the family's 1533-position model. The record is from RNAcentral.
UACGUAGGGUGCGAGCGUUAAUCGGAAUUACUGGGCGUAAAGUGUGCGCAGGCGGCCGCGCAAGUCGAGUGUGAAAUCCCCGAGCUUAACUUGGGAAUUGCGCUCGAAACUACGUGGCUGGAGUGUGGCAGAGGAAGGUGGAAUUCCACGUGUAGCGGUGAAAUGCGUAGAGAUGUGGAGGAACACCGAUGGCGAAGGCAGCCUUCUGGGCCAACACUGACGCCCAUGCACGAAAGCGUGGGGAGCAAACAGG